UACAGGAGGCAUUAUGAUCUAUCUGUGUAUCCAUCAUCCAGGUGUUAUGACUCUCAUCUUUUCACUGGAACCUGCCAAGAAGGGUGAUUGUGACAUAUCACUGGACCCAGCACCUUGGUGAUGUGACUCUCCUCUCCUCUUGGGCCCUGCAUACAUUGUGUCUAUGGAAAUAUAGCUGGUCCAACACCUAGGACAAAAAAACUGGGAAAAACACAGGUUCCUUCAUUUACUGAAUGUUUGACAAAAUAUUCUUUUUGGACCAAAAACAUUGGCAUUACUGGUGAGCUUGUUAGAAAUUCAGCAACUCAGACUUUAUUCCAGAUUUUCUGAAAAAAUAAUCUGCAUUAACAAAAUCUUCAGUUCAUUGAACACAUUAAAAUGUGAGAGGGACCAUUGACAUUUACAGAUGUGGCCAUAGAAUUCUCUCUGGAGGAGUGGCAGUGCCUGGACACUGCACAACAGAACUUAUAUAGAAAUGUGAUGUUAGAGAACUACAGAAACUUGGUCUUCCUGGGUAUUGCUGUUUCUAAGCCAGACCUAAUCACCUGUCUAGAGAAAGAAAAAGAAUCCUGCAAUAUGAAGCGACAUGAAAUGGUGGAUGAACCCCCAGUUGUGUGUUCUCAUUUUGCUGAAGACUUUUGGCCAGAGCAAGACAUAAAAGAUUCUUUCCAAAAAGUGACACUGAGGAGAUAUGAUAAACGUGGACAUGAGAACUUACAAUUAAGAAAAGGCUAUAAAACUGUAGGUGAUUGUAAGCUAUACAAAGGAGGUUAUAAUGGACUUAACCAAUGUUUGACACUUACCCAGAGCAAAAUGUACCACUGCGAUAU
RNAcentral lists this small RNA (830 nucleotides) under Pongo abelii (Sumatran orangutan). Its description in RNAcentral is "processed transcript". Lineage: Eukaryota; Metazoa; Chordata; Mammalia; Primates; Hominidae. The record is from RNAcentral.